CAGCAGCCGCGGUAAAACGAAGGGUGCAAGCGUUAAUCGGAAUUGCUGGGCGUAAAGCGUGCGUAGGCGGUGAGUUAAGUCUGCUGUGAAAUCCCCGGGCUCAACCUGGGAAUGGCAGUGGAUACUGGCUUGCUAGAGUGUGUCAGAGGAUGGUGGAAUUCCCGGUGUAGCGGUGAAAUGCGUAGAGAUCGGGAGGAACAUCAGUGGCGAAGGCGGCCAUCUGGGACAACACUGACGCUGAGGCACGAAAGCGUGGGGAGCAAACAGGAUUAGAUACCCCUGUAGUCCCUGUCUCUUAUAC
Molecule: ribosomal RNA, 301 nt
Filed under: uncultured bacterium
Lineage: Bacteria
Description: partial 16S ribosomal RNA
Rfam family: Bacterial small subunit ribosomal RNA
Source: RNAcentral